Molecule: long non-coding RNA, 258 nt
Organism: Paramisgurnus dabryanus
Lineage: Eukaryota; Metazoa; Chordata; Actinopteri; Cypriniformes; Cobitidae
Source: RefSeq, a predicted model, not a curated record
GAGGGUGUCACCAAACCAAAAUUGAAACUGGAGAAUACAAAUCGUCCUGAUGAUGAUAUGUAUUUGACAUAUGGCGAAGGCACCUCAGGUUUAAGCACCAAAACUACCAGUGGAUUUUUAAUUCCUUUGAUCAGUGUUACUGUUAUCCUUAACCUGUUUAUCUGACAUACAACUUUUUAUGAAAUAUCAGUCUUGUAUAAAUGACUGACGCUACCGCCAUCAAAUGCAUUGCUAAUGGAUCUUGCAUGGGACUUUAAA